UAACACAUGCAAGUCGAACGGGAAUUACUUUAUUGAAACUUCGGUCGAUUUAAUUUAAUUCUAGAUGGCGGACGGGUGAGUAACGCGUGGGUAACCUGCCUUAUACAGGGGGAUAACAGUCAGAAAUGGUUGCUAAUACCGCAUAAGCGCACAGAGCUGCAUGGCUCAGUGUGAAAAACUCCGGUGGUAUAAGAUGGACCCGCGUUGGAUUAGCUUGUUGGCGGGGCAACGGCCCACCAAGGCGACGAUCCAUAGCCGGCCUGAGAGGGUGAACGGCCACAUUGGGACUGAGACACGGCCCAGACUCCUACGGGAGGCAGCAGUGGGGAAUAUUGCACAAUGGGGGAAACCCUGAUGCAGCGACGCCGCGUGAAGGAAGAAGUAUCUCGGUAUGUAAACUUCUAUCAGCAGGGAAGAUAGUGACGGUACCUGACUAAGAAGCCCCGGCUAACUACGUGCCAGCAGCCGCGGUAAUACGUAGGGGGCAAGCGUUAUCCGGAUUUACUGGGUGUAAAGGGAGCGUAGACGGUGUGGCAAGUCUGAUGUGAAAGGCAUGGGCUCAACCUGUGGACUGCAUUGGAAACUGUCAUACUUGAGUGCCGGAGGGGUAAGCGGAAUUCCUAGUGUAGCGGUGAAAUGCGUAGAUAUUAGGAGGAACACCAGUGGCGAAGGCGGCUUACUGGAC
RNAcentral lists this ribosomal RNA (685 nucleotides) under uncultured Lachnospiraceae bacterium. RNAcentral's name for it is "bacterial SSU rRNA". It matches the Rfam family "Bacterial small subunit ribosomal RNA", at positions 49 to 734 of the family's 1533-position model. Lineage: Bacteria; Bacillati; Bacillota; Clostridia; Lachnospirales; Lachnospiraceae. The record is from RNAcentral.